Molecule: long non-coding RNA, 501 nt
Organism: Felis catus (domestic cat)
Lineage: Eukaryota; Metazoa; Chordata; Mammalia; Carnivora; Felidae
Exons: 2
Source: RefSeq, a predicted model, not a curated record
UCUAAUAUGACCAGUGUCCUUGGAGGGAGGCUCUUCAGAGAUGCAGGCACACACUGAGGCAGAGGGAGAAGGGUCUUUGAAUCGAAGUGAUGCAUUCGUGAGCCAAAGCUGAGGGUUGCUGGGGACCACCAGAAGCUGCACAAGAGGCACGGAAUGGACUCUUCUCGGAGCCUCCAGAAGGAACCAGCCCUGGUUUAGCAUCCAGCACCUAAAAAACGGGAGAAGCGAUAAAGUUACUCCAUCCAUCAGUCAUCCACUCCGAACCAGUCGCAAUGACGGACUGUUCUUCAGAGCUGGCACCGAGUCACGAGGCCUUUCGGUGAGCAGCCCGCCGGCAUGAGCCAAACGCAGGAAAUCCAGAAGGUACGUCUGAAACGCACGCAGAAGCAAAAUCCUCCCAAGUCAUAAGAAAGAUCUGGAGACGGGUAGUUGCUUUCCUCAGCAGCAAAGCAUCCACUGUUGCCCUUUAAAAAACAAUAAAGAAUGGUUCCGGCAACCUCA